GACGAACGCUGGCGGCGUGCUUAACACAUGCAAGUCGAACGGAAAGGCCUUUUCGGAGGUACUCGAGUGGCGAACGGGUGAGUAACACGUGGGUGAUCUGCCCUGCACUCUGGGAUAAGCCUGGGAAACUGGGUCUAAUACCGGAUAGGACCGCACUUUAGUGUGUGUGGUGGAAAGUUUUUUCGGUGUAGGAUGAGCCCGCGGCCUAUCAGCUUGUUGGUGGGGUAAUGGCCUACCAAGGCGGCGACGGGUAGCCGGACUGAGAGGUUGGUCGGCCACAUUGGGACUGAGAUACGGCCCAGACUCCUACGGGAGGCAGCGGUGGGGAAUAUUGCACAAUGGGCGCAAGCCUGAUGCAGCGACGCCGCGUGGGGGAUGACGGCCUUCGGGUUGUAAACUCCUUUCGCCAGGGACGAAGCGUUUUGUGACGGUACCUGGAGAAGAAGCACCGGCUAACUACGUG
Molecule: ribosomal RNA, 463 nt
Filed under: uncultured bacterium
Lineage: Bacteria
Description: partial 16S ribosomal RNA
Rfam family: Bacterial small subunit ribosomal RNA
Source: RNAcentral